Molecule: long non-coding RNA, 4795 nt
Organism: Cornus florida
Lineage: Eukaryota; Viridiplantae; Streptophyta; Magnoliopsida; Cornales; Cornaceae
Exons: 5
Source: RefSeq, a predicted model, not a curated record
UAAAAAGAGUUGACCAGGAAAUAAAACGCUCGACUCUUUGUUCUAUUAGGAAAAGAUUAUAUCUUUAUAUAUAUAGAUCAGUUUUACUUAAGAUUAUUGGUUUGCAUCGCCAAUUGCGAAGUUUAAGAUUAUUUCAGCCAUUGAGUGCUAUUAGGAAAAAAAGACUGAUGGGGUCAUUGGAGGAGUCAGAUUGGGCAUGGCUUCCGAAGAACUUAUUGGAUAUGAUUCUGGACAAUUUGGUUUCACUUUCUGAAUUUGUUCGAUUUGGUGCGGUUUGCAAACCAUGGCAGUCUGUGGCAAUGGAGAACAAACUUAAAUUUGUUCAAAAUAAGUUUUUCACACAAGUUCCAUUCUUGAUAGUGCCUUCGAAAGAUAAUAAAGACGAUGAACGACGCAGUCUAUACAUCAUUACUCAUAAUAAGCUAUGUGAUUUUCAGUUAUGGGUACCUUACAAAGAGAGGCUUUGUGGUUCCUUACAUGGUUGGCUGUUUGGUAUAGAAAAAUCCUCUAGCGUAACUCUAAUGAAUCCGUUCUCUGGCUCUACCAUAGAGCUUCCUCCAAUUGAUAGUGUGGUCUCAUUAAGCAAAAUUGAGAUUUCCUUUUAAGUUACAAAGGUUAUAUUGUCAGCUGACCCUGCUUCGUCUCCUAAUGACUAUAUUGUUGCCGCUAUCUAUGGUGGUGAUUCUAACCUGGCAUUUAUUCGGGCAGGAGAUGAAGCUUGGACUUGCAUGGAUAAAGAGAGAUUUAUGUUCUUCUGUGAUGUCAUAUAUUAUAAAGGCCGGAUUUUUGCAGUUGAUAGGGAUAUAGUCCUAAUGAUUGAUGUUAAUAGGACUGGGGCUCCGCAAGUGGAGGAAAAGGAAAUUGCGCCUCAAAUUAUUUAUUAUGAACACAUGUAUCUUGUCGAAUCAUCUAGUGGGGAAUUACUUCUUGUACAAAGGCUUUUAGAAAUUGUAGACGAUUCAUAGCAUGCAACUUCAGGGUUUAAGGUUUUCAAGAUGCUCUUAGACCAAUUUGAGAAGGGUUCGCAUAUGCUGGUUGAAGUGAAGAACUUGGGUGGAGACACCCUGUUUUUGGGCGAUAGUCAUUCCAUUUGUGUUUCAGCUUCCAAAUGGCCCGGAUGUGAACCUAAUUCCAUAUACUAUACAGAUGAUUAUAGUGACAUUAUAUUCUAUCCCCAAUCUGGGCGCCGUGACAUGGGUAUCUUCAACGUAGUGAAUGGAAGCUUUGGAACACAUUACAUCCUUGAUCCUUCACAUAAUGAUAUGCCGCCCUCAAUUUGGAUUGUCCCAACUGUGUUAGGAAGUUCAGUAUAGACUUAAUUUGUUUCGGAUGUCUUUUGGUCAAUCUAAUUUAUUUAGUUUUUUUUUUUUUUUUGCUUAUCAUUUUUAUGUGAUGAAAAAAAUCUGUUUUUAUCUCUUGCUGUAGCAAACGUGAGAUCACGUUUGUAAGACAUAAUUAAACAUUAUUUGUUGGUUUUUCUCAAAUUUUAUGGUAUUAUAAAUAUAUCUUAGUUACAAUUCAUUUUUUCUUAUAAGAAAGUUACUGUCUUUUUCCUUAUAAGAAAUUUAUUGUCUUUUUCCUUGGAAGAAAUUUACUGUAUAUUACUUGAAAUGAGGGUUGGAAAUAACAUCGCAUCAUAAUUCUUGAUGGUUAAAGUGUCCUUGUAAUGCAAUCCAGCUCUCAUCGAUUGUGCUCUCUGUAGUCCUUUGGCCAAGAAUUAAGACCAUAUUUUUUAUAUUUGAUUUGCUUGGUUGCGCCAAGUAGCCUUGCUUGAUUUCUUGUUACAUGGUAUGGCAAUUUCUCGAGGUUGCUUGUUUAUUAUUAAGUUUGGUCAAAUGUACUAAAGAAUUGAUUGACAUUCAUGAAGGAAGCCUAUGUAGUUUUUGAGUUUUUUAUUUUUUAUUUUUUAAAUUCCAUGGCAUUUCUUGAAUUUACCCUUGAGGGCUCGUUCAUAAUAAUGGAUCUGAGUUUGGUUGAAAGUAAAUCUAUUGCUGAUCAAUGUUUAGCUUUUUAUUGAGCGCUUGAUUAAUGAUUAGUCGUGUUCAACCGAUUCCCCCGGAUAAGUUUUUAUAUGUAGGGCUGUUAUAGUAGUUCUUUAAAGCAUGUGAAGAUUGCUUAGAUAUUCUUUAUUAAAAUGCUUUGCCAAAUUUUUAUACAAUAUCUCUAUUACCAAUGCAUUAGUUUGCUGGUUUAGAUGAUUAGUUCUAAUUUCGUGCUGACCUUAGUAUUUCUGAUAUCAUUCUGUUAAUGAUGAAAGCUACAGAGGCCAAAACCGAACAACUUGACUAUCCACCUUCCUUACACAUGUUUAGUAAUCAAAUUUUUUUUAUUUUAUUUCUUACACAUGUUUUCUCUUUCUUUAAAUUAGUCCCUCAUCCCUUGUAUGGCCUGGAUCUGCUAGUAACUCUUUUCUAAAAAUCUUUUAAUGCAUGAAAGAUGGUCUUGUGCAUGUGUGGUUGCUAGAUUGAGUAUUCCUGCGGUGAGAAUUUUCAUCCAGUGACGCGGCCUGCACUGUAAAUCUCUUAGAAUGUCUAUCUGAUUCUAUCUUCUCUCAUAUAUCACUCUUAUUUCUCUCUUGCUGCCAUUCUCUCUCUAGCUCUCUCUCUUCUCACACUUCAUAGCAAGAAUAGAAUUUUCAUUGAAAUACAUAGUCCCGUAACUGGAAAAUCAAUGUCAACUCUUUCUCUCUCUCUCUACAUAUGAACAUAUUAUACAUAUAUAAAUAUGUGUAUGAGAGUUGAUUUAUCAGCAUGUACCGAACUUUGUUUCUAUCUCUUUUGAAAAUAUAUUUGCCAUAUCUGUGCUGUUAAGGGCUAAAAUUGAUUAAUGCAUUUAGCCAAUUAUGAAGCAUAAGCAGCUAUUGGAGCUCGAAUAGGAAUCUAAAGUAGCUAUUGAAGCUGUUUGAUUGGGGCUCAACUGUUGAAGUUCUCAUCAAUGCAUGUGUUUGGUUUGGGCCGACUGAUUUCCUGCAGGCAAUAAGUUUCAACAGAGAAGACGAUCACGAUGAUGUCAUUUUUCAGUUCUUUUGAGUUCCUGUGUGCUGAAUAGUUAGACCAGAAGGUUGGCUUCUCUUGGGGUCCCUCUAAAGUGGAGAAGGACGCGUCUGCAGUGGAUCGAAAGAAGAAGGCUAUGAUUGAGAGUUUGAGAAGGAGCAAAGAAGGAAAUUCAUCUACCUAGGCUUUGCAAUCGCUGGUUAAGACGACGAACAGUCCAGAACGGCAAAGGAUGAGACCGAGGUUCGCACGGGAUCUGGAUGGCGUGCACUGUUUUGAAACAAUAAUCAUGGACUGAGCAGCCAAGUUACUCCAAGCCAGGAGAGAGAAACUGAAGCUAAGAAUUGAAUCCCUUGAUUCAACCGCUCUUUUAGAUUACAUAUUCAACAAUAACAUUUGGAUUAUCUGUUGCAUCAUGCGGAUUAUGUAUUCGCAAUCCAACUUUCUGAUCGCAUUUCAAAACUUGUGGCCGGUGAUCUGGUCCUCACUCUUUCUCUAUAUACUGGUUAGUUUCUUGUUUGAAGUUGUAUAUAUUUGUUCUUGAUAUUGGUCCGCAGAUUUUUAACAAUUAAUUUGAAUUUUUAUUUGGGUAUUAAUUAGGGUUAAUAUUGGUUUGUGAAAUGUGAGGAAUCAACUUUUGUUUUUGUUGUUCUGUGAACUUCAAUUUAUAUUUGGUUUCUUUAACUGUAUGGAUUUCAUUGUGGAACUGCAAGUAGGUUGCUUCUGUGAAGUGCUUCAUGCUUGUAGCUUGAUACAUAAAGCUCCUCUUCCUAAUUUUUGUCAGCCUUUUCUUUUGGUUUCCUUUAGCUUUAGUACUGAAACAUCCAUCCUAUAAUUUUAUUGGUGGUUGACUCGUGAACAAGACAAAAAUGAUAACGAUGAUGAUGGUGUUGUUGCAGGUGGUCUUCAAACUUGAGGGGCUAUAUGUUUGUGGUGCUGUAAAAAAUUAAACUGCGGCCUUAAGUUACUUAAUAUACAAAUACAUAAACAAAUAUACCUUUAUAUACGCUUAUUCCUCUUCUCUCGUUCCCUUUGUCUCUUUAAAAACUUUAUGUUCAUUGCAUUUUAGUAAUAAAAUUAGUACUUUAGUCCACUGCCCUUUACGGAGCAUCCAUGUUCUUAGGCUGCAGAUUACUUUCCUUCUAUAAGUCACUUAUUCUGCUUUAUAUGUUUGCUUGUGGCAGCUAAGAAUUGAAUCCCUUGAUUCAACCGCUCUUUUAGAUUACAUAUUCAACAAUAACAUUUGGAUUAUCUGUUGCAUCAUGCGGAUUAUGUAUUCGCAAUCCAACUUUCUGAUCGCAUUUCAAAACUUGUCGCCGGUGAGCUGGUCCUCACUCUUUCUCUAUAUACUGCUAAGAACUGAAUCCCUUGAUUCAACCGCUCUCUUGGAUUACAUAUUCAACAACAACAUUUGGAUUAUCUGCUGCAUCAUGCGGAUUAUGUAUUCUCAAUCCAACUUUCCGAUUGCAUUUCAAAACUCGUUGCCGGUGAUCUGGUCCUCGCUCUUUCUCUAUAUACUGGUUAAUUUCUUGUUUGAAGUUGUAUAUAGUUGUUCUUGAUAUUGGUCCGCAGAUUUUUAACAAUUAAUAUGAAUUUUUAUUUGGGUAUUAAUUAGGGCUUUUUUGGUUUGUGAAAUGUGAGGAAUCAACUUUUGUUUUUGAUGUUCUGUUAACUUCAAUUUAGAUGAUUAGCUACCAGAACUUUGGAAAAUUGAUUUAACUGCUCAAUUAACGAAAUCUUUGAUUCUGGGGCAUUGUCAGUUAGGAAUAUGUAUAAUAUACAGCUGUUAAAAAUUGGUAUUG